RNAcentral lists this ribosomal RNA (200 nucleotides) under uncultured organism. RNAcentral describes it as "partial small subunit ribosomal RNA". It matches the Rfam family "Bacterial small subunit ribosomal RNA", at positions 1184 to 1378 of the family's 1533-position model. The record is from RNAcentral.
GUCAAAUCAUCAUGCCCCUUAUGACCUGGGCUACACACGUGCUACAAUGGAUGGUACAAAGGGCUGCAAGACCGCGAGGUUUAGCCAAUCCCAUAAAACCAUUCUCAGUUCGGAUUGUAGGCUGCAACUCGCCUACAUGAAGCCGGAAUCGCUAGUAAUCGCGGAUCAGCAAAGCCGCGGUGAAUGCGUUCUCGGGGAUU